RNAcentral lists this ribosomal RNA (773 nucleotides) under Orthrus bicolor. RNAcentral's name for it is "eukaryotic LSU rRNA". The stretch from base 485 to 773 matches the Rfam family "Eukaryotic large subunit ribosomal RNA", at positions 665 to 921 of the family's 3401-position model. Lineage: Eukaryota; Metazoa; Arthropoda; Arachnida; Araneae; Salticidae. The record is from RNAcentral.
KGGGCCCUCGAAAUCCUGUGGCGGGAGGAUUCAGUGCGUCGCCGUGGACGGCCGGCACCGGAAGUCAGGCAGGGCUUCCCGGGACCGGGCGCCGUCCGUGUGGCCGUCUCCCCGGCGGCGURCGCAUUUGUCUCCCGUCCGAAGGACGCCGCAGCCGGUUCGGCAGCGCAAGCGUGACGGCCUGAAGGCCGGGAACCGGCAGGUGGCCGGUGGUCCUCCCCCGGGGGGGUCGCCGGUUGUUAGCCGUCCCGGUGGUGGCCCGUCGCCGGACCGAGGUGUCGCGAGUCCCCUCCGGGGGACUCCUCGUCUCCACCCCGACGCGGUCGCAGGACUGGUCCUUGGCAAGGGUCCGCCGUGGAGCCGUCGCACUCCCUCGGAGUGGGCGGAGAGGCGGACGGGCCCCGUUGGCCGCCGCGGACCUGCGGGGGACAGGAGGCUGGCGGCGAGUAGGUCGGUCACCCACCCGGCCCGUCUUGAAACACGGACCAAGGAGUCUAACAUGUGCGCGAGUCAGUGGGUCUUGGACAGGCCCACGGGCGCAAUGAAAGCGAAGGACCUGCCUUGGCGCGGUCCGAGUCGGGAUCCCUCCCCCUCGUGGGGGGGGCGCACCGACGACCCGUCCCGUCCGGCUCGCCGGUGGGUCGGAGUCUGAGCGUACACGUUGGGACCCGAAAGAUGGUGAACUAUGCCCGGACAGGACGAGGCCAGAGGAAACUCUGGUGGAGGUCCGCACGGUUCUGACGUGCAAAUCGAUCGUCMGAUCCGGGUCUAGG